UCCNCACCUGGUCCAAGGGGCCUAAGCAGAGA
Molecule: non-coding RNA, 32 nt
Filed under: Mus musculus (house mouse)
Lineage: Eukaryota; Metazoa; Chordata; Mammalia; Rodentia; Muridae
Source: RNAcentral